UCAAACGGUAGGAGUUUUUUCUUAACGACUGCAUUUCAUAUUGCUUCAUUGUUUCUCCAUAUCCCUAUGAGAAUGCAGUUCGGAAGGAGGAGCCACAACGAGUGUCUGAAUACGUGAAUGCGGGGAAGAAGAAAACGCCGCAAGCAGUUGGCGCAUUCACCAGCUUCGUGGCACAGUGACGCUGCUUGCAAAGUGCGCAUUUCUUCGCUUGGCCGCUUUCACCUGUGCUCAGUUUGGCGGCUCCAAAUGAAAAGAAAGAUUGGUCGCUGGCUGGACGUGAAUGCUGACUACGGCGAUACCUACCGCGAGUGAACUUGAUGUGACAUGGCACAUACGCUAGAGCAUCGGAUAAAGAUACAAUAAAUGGUGUGUCGAAAGCACGACUUUCCGCCC
This 393-nucleotide long non-coding RNA is filed under the name Dermacentor andersoni. RNAcentral's name for it is "uncharacterized LOC126516705". The record is from RNAcentral. Lineage: Eukaryota; Metazoa; Arthropoda; Arachnida; Ixodida; Ixodidae.